GCCAUCGUCGUAGGUUUCCACAUGACAGUCGACGUUAUCAUACGUCGACGUUUGUAGCGGUUUUCGUUUUGUGUACACACCACUAAGUAGGGAGUGUCGGCGUUCUACAGACCACCUUAGCAUCGUUAGUUCGGCCCGCAGAGCUUGGGUCGAAUCGUUUUGUGGAUCGGCAUGAACGUCGAAGUACUGGCGCUGCUGUUGGUUCUGCUGGAUCCCACGAUGUCAAACUCAACGCCAAGUUGCAACGUGAAAGGACAGAAAGACAUAGAUUGGGACAAGCUGGCAAGCAAGCGAUGGUACGCAGCUCUAGACGCUCUCCAAUAUUCGAAGUACAAGAUAUGUAACGAGAGACUUUUCUUUCCCAAGGACGGCGAAGUUGUUUCAACUAUAAACCCAACUGCACAAGGGACUGAUAGUUGGAACGAAACCUUAAAGGAAGGCAAGCUGGAAUCUGACAGAAUUCGAUUUCCUGAAUGUAAGUGCG
Molecule: long non-coding RNA, 484 nt
Organism: Rhipicephalus microplus (southern cattle tick)
Lineage: Eukaryota; Metazoa; Arthropoda; Arachnida; Ixodida; Ixodidae
Source: RefSeq, a predicted model, not a curated record